Pseudoliparis swirei is the source of this 533-nucleotide long non-coding RNA. RefSeq lists it as uncharacterized. The record is from RefSeq and is a predicted model, not a curated record. The transcript has 3 exons. Lineage: Eukaryota; Metazoa; Chordata; Actinopteri; Perciformes; Liparidae.
CGGAAAUCAAACCUUGGCCGCCAUGAUGACGACAUGUGGCACUUGAGUGUGUGAUUACGACUACCAGCAUGAACCUCAACACCUUCUUUGCUGUUCCACUAGUGUGACCCAUGAUCGGAUACAAGUUGUCAAGGAUAAACGGGAAGAGAAUCAUGUCAGCCCACAGACAACCGGUUGACCUGUGAGUCUUCAAGCAGUAAUGAUGACUACUCCUGCCCUAAGUUCCAGUUUCCUGAACAUCAUGUCGGCAUGAGAUUCUGUCCCCACCUGUCUUCAGUCUGGACCCAAUGAGGUUUUUUUUUUUACAGUGCGUUUACAGUCACAUGGUUUUUUUCGAGGCUUUGUCUGAGUUUCAGUGCUGCAGUUAUUUACCAUUCAGGGUUGUUCAGAAACAUCCAAUUUGUCAUUCUCAUUUGAAGGGCUUGCUGCUGUGAUUCUUUUGUGUACACCAGGAUUUCUUUGUAUUUUGGCAUUUUACACAAAUGUUUUUGAAAGAUGGUCAACAAAGUUGCACAAUUAAAUGUUUAACUGCU